Molecule: non-coding RNA, 264 nt
Filed under: Clostridium cadaveris
Lineage: Bacteria; Bacillati; Bacillota; Clostridia; Eubacteriales; Clostridiaceae
Description: T-box sequence
Rfam family: T-box leader
About the family: Uncharged tRNA acts as the effector for transcription antitermination of genes in the T-box leader family.
Source: RNAcentral
AAUAAUGCAGUGAAAAGAAGAGUAAUAGGAUGGUACUAUUUACAGAGAGCCGUGGAUGGUGAAAGGCGGCAGUAGAAAAUCUUAUGAAGAUGGCCUUAGAGCAGACUUUUCGAGCUAGAUUCUAGUUAGGGAAGUACGGGUGCGACCGUUAUAUUGCAGGGUAAUAAAAGCUUAUUUAUUUAGUAAGUGGAGUUACUUAGUGAGAUAUUCUUUGGUGACAGAGAAUAUGAAGUAGAGUGGUAAAGCGUUUAUAACGCCUCUAUG